GGGGAUUUAGCUCAGCGGUAGAGCGCUUGCCUAGCAAGCGCAAGGUCCUGGGUUCGGUCCCCAGCUCCA
RNAcentral lists this transfer RNA (69 nucleotides) under Rattus norvegicus (Norway rat). It matches the Rfam family "tRNA". Rfam says of the family: Transfer RNA (tRNA) molecules are approximately 80 nucleotides in length. The record is from Rfam by way of RNAcentral. Lineage: Eukaryota; Metazoa; Chordata; Mammalia; Rodentia; Muridae.